CCAAUUUCGGGUUCUGUUCGCCUUGAACGAAAUUUGGACCCACCUGCUUUUCGGUUUUUAACUCAUUUUACUUGUCCUAGUCUAAACAUACAAAAAUAAAUACAAGAAUGUAAAAAAACAAAGGCUUAUACCCAUUACUAAUAAAAAUACAAAAAUAAAAAUAAAGAAAAGUCUUCUAAUACGUCUUCUUCAAAUUUCUUCAAUCUUCCUGAAAUUGGGCUCCAUACGUUUGCCUUGACUGGAUAAAGGAAUGGAGCCUUUACGGCUCUUCCGAAAUGCAAAGAGAAGAAGGGAGACCCAAAACGGACUCGAGAGGGAUUUUUCAUGCAAACAAACAAAUAAAAUGAUAUAAGUAAUGCUAAAUAAAUGUACAAUAGAGCUAUUUGCUGAAGUACACAAUAAACCCCAAAGAAAACAAAUAAACAAAUGGAUGAUUUACAAAAGAUAAUAGAAGCUAAGAACCAAGACUUCUUCAUCAAAAGGUCGACAAUAUGCUAAUGAACAAAAUCAAAUUCAACGAAUAUGCAACAAUCAAAGACCAACAAGUAAACCGUUAACAACUAACUUAGAUUAAGGUGUUUCAGCUAACCCAUUUCAAUUUUUCGAAAGCAACAAAAACAUAGUAUCAACAAUAGAACUAAAAUUUGUCAUGAAUAAUGCAUCAAGGAAACCUUCCAUAUGACCAAGACAACCAAAGGUACUUGCCAAUAAUUUGAUGUACACCCUUCUCCAGUGAACAAAAAUGACACAUGCUUCUAAAAAUCACAUAGUAUUCUCUAAAAACUUUAAACAUCGAGAACAUAAAAAAAAGCUAAGCCUAUCUAGAGAUUAAGACUAACUACGAUUAUUUAAGGAAAUAAAGCGAACAUGCCACAACAGCAAGCUCAAAAUCAUAAGAGGGAAAUAACAAAGAAGAAAUGACUUAGCUAAUAACGCAUGUGACAUUCCGAUAUACCUCACUUAUGGUUAGAAAAGACCAUGCACAAAACAAAAGGUAGGCAAGACAACUGCUACGCGAUCACAUUAAAUGCAGAAAAUCCCAACAAAUGAUAUGAAGGAAACUAAAGAAAACAAACUUCAAGAGGUAUAAAUUAAACAUCCUUAUUAAAAGCAAAGUCUAAACAAUAAUAUUUAAAUAAGUUUGACAUAGUACUAACAAAGGAUACUCAACAGUGUAAUCCCCCAAAACUGACAAACUCUUAUUCUAUUUCUUUUAACUUCGAACGAAUAAUAUACUCCAUUUUUUACUUACGGGACUGCCUUACUAACCUCUACAACAUAAUCUCUUCAAACGAAAACACAUCUGAGAAAAAAAACAAAAAAAAAACAACGAUACAGAUUUAGACAUGAACCGACCAGCUAAAGCCUUUGCCAAUAUCUACUUAACAAUCACAGUUUGAGUCAUGUAACAGAGAGGUAUGACUCUACUGGAUUAGGCUAACAUAUAGGAUAACUUCAAAUGAUAGAACAAGCAACCAUCAGCAUUAGCAAACUGUGACGAAAACAGAAUCAACCAUGUACAUUCACAUUCGAGUAUCUUAACACAACUCAACCCAAAACAAAACGAUGGAACAACAGUUGGUGAACAACAACACAUAUAAUGAUUCAGACUAUCACUAGAGAAAAUCGGUGGACACAGCUAAAACCCAUCGCAUCACAGCAACAAAGAUGAGGUAAGUUUGAAAAGGAUAAGUCGUACCUUUUCCAGGAAGUGAGACUGAGACGAGAACGAGCAGUAACAGCAAUAACUUCCACCCCAAACAAAAACACGAAUACCAAAUGACGAAACGGAAGUUGCUGGAUCGAUUAGCUCACCAAUCUGUCAAUCUCUGUGCUUGUUAUGAUCUUGGAAAAUCUUUCUAGGACCGCUUGAGACUUCUCUCAACCAGUUUGGACGUAAAAAUGGUAGACAAGAAAUCAUCCUCUAGUUUUUCCGAAACAAACAAGAAGGAACCAAAGAAUUUUUUCCCAAAUUUUCCCAAGAAUUUUUUAACUGUUCUUCUACAACAGACAGAAGAAGAACCAAAUAUUUUCCCAAAAAUUCAUCUAACUCUUCGUGAUAAAACUAUCUCUCCAAAUCUCCAACCCCUAAUCCGAAGAAGAAAGAGAGUUUAUAUAGAGGAGCUUCCCUGAAGAAAACAAACGAGGGUAUAAUCGUAUUUGCAACCCUAGGUUUGAAAUCCAAUCCUUAAAUCCUAUCCGAUAUCCACCGAAUAUUCUCGCGAGAUUCCAGCCUCUCAAUGGAAUAAAGAGGAAUAGAGGGUUGGAUCGUCUCUUUCGUCCUUGACGAAAGAUGUGUACUUAUCUCCAAGAGGCGGGGCUACACAGCUGGAGAAUGAAGGAUUAUACGAAUGUUGUAGCCCGCUGAAAUUCGUACGAAACAUAGAAAGGGGGAAAGAGCCGUUGCAAGAGAACGACAAAACAGACAGCUAACCACCUACUGGUCGAUUCCUUCGUGUUAUCAGCGCGCGUUGUCGUCGCUUGAGGGAAGGGGGAUUGAAACUCACGCACAGCAGACGUGAGGAGGGUUUCUGGGAAUUAAAUUUCUUUCGCGUCUGGGGGGAUUUUAGUGUCUAGGUUCUGGAUAUUUCACGUCUGUUCUAGGAAUAUCGCUUGAAGAAGGAGAAAGAGGGAGGGGAAAUUCUGGGAAAUUAGCGUGUGGGUUCUGGAUACUUUGACGUUUUCUAGGAAUUUUUUGGCAUCUUCU
This 2707-nucleotide unclassified non-coding RNA is filed under the name Hevea brasiliensis (rubber tree). Lineage: Eukaryota; Viridiplantae; Streptophyta; Magnoliopsida; Malpighiales; Euphorbiaceae. The record is from RNAcentral.